RNAcentral lists this long non-coding RNA (366 nucleotides) under Heterocephalus glaber (naked mole-rat). RNAcentral's name for it is "lncRNA (ENSHGLG00000038678.1)". The record is from RNAcentral. Lineage: Eukaryota; Metazoa; Chordata; Mammalia; Rodentia; Bathyergidae.
CCCAGACAGAAAAAAGCCAAUCUUUGCAUUCACUUGCUUAAUGACAAUGUCAUUUCAUACUACAGAACAGGGUUAAAGACAGAAACAAACAACCUUAGGCCAGUUUUUACUUCUGAAAAGGUUGAAACCUAGUGAGCCAGAAAUGGGUCCUAGUGGGAUACAAACUCUCCUAAGGAGAGAAAGGACACCAAAGAGCCAGAUUCCUGAUGUUCUUAUAGAAGGGGCCUCUCCUUCCACACAACAGCCACCUUCCAUUCAUCCUCCCUUCCCUCAAGCCAAAGAUGUCAACUUGAAUGCUUACACAGCGAAUCAGCCCAUGCCCCGGAAACAAUCCAUUGGACACCCCAACCUCCUGCUCCUCUGUAC